Papaver somniferum (opium poppy) is the source of this 208-nucleotide long non-coding RNA. RefSeq lists it as uncharacterized. The transcript has 3 exons. Lineage: Eukaryota; Viridiplantae; Streptophyta; Magnoliopsida; Ranunculales; Papaveraceae. The record is from RefSeq and is a predicted model, not a curated record.
GUUCUGGGGGUUUAAAUGGCGAUUACUUCUUCCCUGCUCGGAAUACUUCGUACUGGUCGUGUCCUCCGUUCUUCCUCUUUUCCUACCAAUCCCAGCCUGAUCCGUAAGCUUAAUACACCAUGGACGAGUUCUCCAUCGGGUAAAAAGAUGUCAAGUUGGGCAGAGAGACUGUUCAGCUCAAAACCCAUAGGGAACAAUAUAACCGCAG